RNAcentral lists this long non-coding RNA (1489 nucleotides) under Triticum aestivum (bread wheat). Its description in RNAcentral is "long non-coding RNA (TAES_LNC016511)". The record is from RNAcentral. Lineage: Eukaryota; Viridiplantae; Streptophyta; Magnoliopsida; Poales; Poaceae.
CCUGUAGCAGCUUUUUUGUGUCGAGAAAACUUGUGUUCCAUUUAUAUAUCACAUGAUACAAAUGCUCCAGCAUUGGCAGAGUGGACUAUGUCCACUACUCGCAGCCUCGCACUCAGCAACAUUACACCAGCUUUAGCUAAGAGAUGAGCACACGUAUUUGCUACUCUGCAUCAAAUAACUCCACCUGAAUAUUACUCGUACACAUCUCCCUAAUUUCCUGAACAGAAGGGCCAACAUGAUAUCUAUUUAACCCAUUACACUAAUUGUUUACUACCUCCGCAUAGUCCUGCUUGAUAAUUACAUUGUUCAACUCUUGAUUCAAUACUCUGAAGACAAAUACACCAAAAAUAUAAUUUUUACACACACCAUGAUAGCAUCAUAUCCAUCCCCACACACAUCACACUAACAUCAGACCCAAACAUAAGAGAGAGGAGAUGAGACAGCGAGGCCAACACAUGGGAGCAGUGUUGCUGCACCGAUAUGCCGAGGGUCGCCGCUGCCAGCAGGGGCAGGAGGGCAGGGAUGCUGCUGUGGCCUCAAGGCGAUGCAGAUGCGGAUGGGUACGUCGUGGGCUCGUGGUAGACCGACGAUGGCAACCGACACAGGCAGUUGCCAGGUGGAUGUGGGUGGCGUGGACAUCUACAGGAGCACAACGGGCAAAGAUCAGAGGCGAUGUCAGUCUGUGUGUAUCAUGAAAGUCUGCAUAAUAUAGUUUGACAAUAGAAAAGGAACACACAAAGAUUAUACCAACAAUCUUAUCCAACAUAUAAACAAAGAUCUUGAUUCUACUUCCUAUAACAUAGGGAGCGCAGAAAUUGUAAUUUUGAUCCCAGUUUUACAUUUUAAUUUAGGGGCUCAGACAUCCAAGCUCUAGAUCAGUACAUAUCCAAGCUCUAGAGUAAAUCAUACAAUUAAGUUUUGCAUGGGAAUUUUGGGCCGUGUGCAGCAUAACCGAAACAGACACAAUAUAUGAUUGCAGUUAAACUUAUCAAUGAAUUUCAGUUGCAUCUCUUUGAGUCGCUGACUAAUAGUGUGCCAUUAUUCUUAGAUAAAUUACCAUUUUGCCUCCAUGAACAGAAACAUCAUCAAGGAAAACACAGGACACAAUAACAAUUCCUAUUUAUGAAAGAAGAAAGAAUGGCACAAAAGCUAAAACAACAAACUUGGUCUCAUACUAUGGAUAUUACAAAAAAAUUGUUUCAAUUAUUAAAUACCAAGACACAAAUUAGAAUUAGAUGACUUUGCAAACCUGGAUACAUCUAGAAAGGAUAACUAAAAUUUACAAACGCUAUAGUCGAUCUGAAUAACAUACAUGUUCCCAAUGGUCUCCCAUCAAAAUUAGCUAAUUUGGUCGGCGUUUGCUGAAUAUCUUGCGCGGCCAUCCAAAUCACCCUCUUUUCCAUUACUUCCUUUGUACCACCAACUCAAAAUUCCCCUUUUGCUAUAAUUACCACGCAUUCUUACAAACAAAUGUGUUAAUGGGAUGCCC